RNAcentral lists this long non-coding RNA (1811 nucleotides) under Malus domestica (apple). RNAcentral's name for it is "long non-coding RNA (MDOM_LNC015824)". Lineage: Eukaryota; Viridiplantae; Streptophyta; Magnoliopsida; Rosales; Rosaceae. The record is from RNAcentral.
GUCUGUGGUAUCUGGCUCUCGAGAUUCGGAGAACGAUGCCUCUUCGAUUUUUGAGAAAAGCAAUCAUGCUGGGGGUCUGGCUCUCGAGAUUCGGAGAGUAGUGUCUCUUCGAUUUUUGAGGAAGUAAUCAUGUUGGGAGUCUGGCUCUCGAGAUUCGGAGGGCGGUGCCUCUUCGAUUUUGGAGCAAGCAAUCCUGUUGGGAGUGUUGUCUCGAAUGUGAGUAAAGGUUGGGCAUGUUUGCUAGUCUACCUUGCCCCGAAGCACAAAGGUUGACACACAGGGACUUUCCAAUUAUCUAGCAAUGGUACUGUUCCUUUACCCUAUCUUCGCUUUUGAGAAAGUAGUCAUGUUGGGAGUCUGGCUCUCGAGAUUCGGAGGACGGUGCCUCUUCGAUUUUGGAGCAAGUAAUCUUGUUGGGAGUUUUCUCGAAUGUGAGUAAAGGUUGGGCAUGUUUGCUAGUCUACCUUGCCACGAAGCACAGAGGUUGACACACACAGAACUUUCCAAUUAUCCAGCAAUGGUACUGUUCCGUUUACCCUUGUGGGUAAUAAUAUGGUAGCUAGACCUUCAAAAUUUAUGUGUCUAAACUUUGUUAGUGCUGUUUCUUUGCUAUUCUUUUACCUUUCUUGGUCAGAGCGAUGUAGUGGGAGCUGCAAGCUUCACGUGCUCAACUUUGGCAGAGAAACUUUGGCAAAGUUAUCUGUGGUACCCAUGAGCUAUUGUUGCGUGUGGGAAGUGGGUGAUUGAACAGUAAGAUUCAUGUGCUUUCUACUUCACCAGAAGUAUUCGACAGAAUGCCCAUAAUUUCUGCAAAGCUGAGUGUGCGUGUGACAGGUGCUGACAACUAGAAUAGUAGGUGCCUCUUCGAUUUCUGAGAUCGGCCCUCGUGGUCUCUGAGCAGCCCAGCUUUUGAGAAAGCGAGCGCCUCUUCGAUUGAUUCGGAGAACGAUGCCUCAUCGAUUUUUGAGAAAGCAAUCAUGCUGGGGGUCUGGCUCUCGAAGAUUCGGGGAGCAGUGUCUCUUCGAUUUUUGAGAAAGUAAUCAUGUUGGGAGUCUGGCUCUCGAGAUUCGGAGGGCGGUGCCUCUUUCAAUUUUGGAGCAAGCAAUCUUGUUGGGAGUGUUUUCUCGAAUGUGAGUAAAGGUUGGGCAUGUUUGCUAGUCUACCUUGCCACGAAGCACAGAGGUUGACACACAGGGACUUUCCAAUUAUCCAGCAAUGGUACUGUUCCUUUACCCUCUCUUCGAUUUUUAAGAAAGUAGUCAUGUUAGGAGUCUGGCUCUCGAGAUUCGGAGGACGGUGCCUCUUCGAUUUUGGAGCAAGCAAUCUUAUUGUGAGUGUUUUCUCGAAUGUGAGUAAAGGUUGGACAUGUUUGCUAGUCUACCUUGCCACGAAGCACAGAGGUUGACACACAGGGACUUUCCAAUUAUCCAGCAGUGGUACUGUUCCUUUACCCUUGUGGGUAAUAAUAUGGUAGCUAGACCUUCAAAAUUUAUGGGUCUAAACUUUGUUAGUGCUGUUUCUUUGCUAUUCUUUUACCCUUCUUGGUCAGAGCGAUGUAGUGGGAGCUUCAAGCUUCACGUGCUCAACUUUGGCAGAGAACUUUGGCAAAGUUAUCUGUGGUACCCAUGAGCUAUUGUUGCGUGUGGGAAGUGGGUGAUUGAAAAGUAAGAUUCAUGUGUUUUCUACUUCCCCAGAAGUCUUCGACAGAAUGCCCAUAAUUUCCGCAAAGCUGAGUGUGCGUGUGACAGGUGCUGACAAGGCUGGAAAAGUAGGUGCCUCUUCGAUUUCUGAGAUCGGCCCUCGUGGUCUCU